AGGGAGCGAGUGAGGGGGGCUGGCAUGAGCGUGGAGUGGGAAACACGGGAGCAGGGUGCAUGAGCACCGGUGUCACAAGUCACUUCCGUGGCGUGGGAUACAGCCUGUCUUCUCGCUCCAGAAAGUUCUCCAGAGUCUUCCUUAACAUAAAGGACUAGAGUCAAAGAAGUGUGUGUGUGUGUGUGUGUGUGUGUGUGUGUGCAUGUUACUGGGGAUUGAUUAAACCCAGGACCUGGCACAUGCUACAAUGUGCUCCACUGUUAUGCUAUAGUCCUGCCCCUCCCCCCCAUUUAUUUAUCUAUUUAUUUAAAAUCUUGUUAAGUGGAUUAAGGAGGGCGAUUAUCCUCCUACCCUGGCUCUUCUGGAGCAGCAAGGGUGCAGGCCUGCACCACCUGGGCUGGCGCAGAGAGUGUUCACACCUCACAGAAGAAGGACUUGGGGGUGUUGGGUUAGGGUUUCCGCUCUUGACAGCGCUUCCUCCUUAAAUCCAGUCUUCUGCAAAGCCAGAGCGAACCGUGAGGUUAAAGAGGAGCCUGGAGGACCCUGGCCGCACAGCAAGGGUGACUCACGGAGAUGUGAGCAGGAGAGCCGAUCCUGUGCCUCAGGGCUGAGACAGAGGGGAGAGCAUCCCCCAGGACCAGGGCGUGCAGGGCCCGCCCUUGUGCUGCAGAGCAGAAGUCUGUAGUCCCCAGAGCUUGGAGGACAGAGGCUCCAGGCCAGCCCGUACUUCACACCUUGCACUGCCAAGCCUGGUGAUUCCAGACAGCGUCAGUGGGGAAACCUCCACCUCUGGGCAGCUGGCCCUUCUGCCCCUCUCAGGGCACAUGGGGGAGUGGGGUGAAGGCACAGAGACAAAUGAGUCCAAGUUGUUUCCUGUCUCCAGCGGUGACUGCAGGAGACAGGCACUUGAGGGAUCCUGGGUGCAAAGAGACCCUUGAGAAAGAGGAAGAGGGACAGGCUGGUGUCAGGCGCCCUUCGGAAGGAGAUAGGCUUUCCAAGACUGCAAAUCAGGAGCAAACCGUGAGAAGAGAGAGGAGGCCGGAGGACCCUCAGACAGACAGAUGCCUUCCCCUUCAUGCAGACCUGCAGACCACUGCUUCUGCCUGCUCUGCCCCUACCCUGGUGGACAUUGGCCUCUUCAGGAGCCAUUUUCCUGAAGUCUGGUGUUUACUCAUGGGGCAGGGUUAUCUCAUCCUUGAAAUCAAGCAGUGAAGUGGACAGACAGAUCUGUGCCCAUUCAACAGAUGGGGAAACUGAGGCUCCAACAAGGUUCAGGAAACUUUUCUGCUUUGGAAGCAGAAAAAGGAGGAGAAUCAUGGACUCAUUUGUCAUUUAGCCCUGGAGUGUGCUGCACUGUAGCUUCAGGAGCCUGAAGCUUCUGGGUGAUGCCCACAGAGGAGGCAGCAAGGUCCUUCAGCUGUUGUUUUAUGGGUACAUAGUCUCACCCCCAGACUCAGUAGACCAGCUUGGUGUUCCCCACAGCUAGUUAGUCCCUCCUAAGAACUAACAGGUCAUCCUGAGAAGCCUUGACAUGCACCAUGCAGGCAGGCCGAGACCCUUCAGACAGCGCCUUCUCACGGCGCGGGCUUCGCUGUUCCCCGCAGAACACCAGCUUCCCAGCAGACAAGGUCUUAGCUGAGCCAUGAACUCGGCCCCCGCCUUGGUUCCGGGCCCCAGCGAGGCUGGCCCACUCAGCCAAGCGCCGCCUGUAGGAAGGCCGGUUCUGGAGCUUACGCUGUCCCACACACUUCUCUAGCACAAGCCCGAGGAAACUGCAAGGAAACAGGAGGAAGGUCGUUCCCGGGGCCAGCCUGCUGAAGGAGGACAUGGGUGACAAAGGACCCUUAUCUGACUCAGGACCUGUCCCUCAUGUCCUCUGGGCUAGAGCCUGGGCUGAAGGGCUGUCCUGAAGGAAUGACUAACCCCUGACCACAGGCGGCUGGGGCUGGUCAAGGGCCCAGGCCUCCUAAGGACUAGCGAGCAGGGAACGCCCAGGGGCUUAGAUGACCAAGAUGCCAGCUAGUGGCCGGCUCCCCUACCGCCCCUGCAGUUUGGUCUCUCCCAGAGUCCGGAUUCCACAGAUGUCUGCCUUAGAAGGAAGCAGCGGCCUGACUGGGUUAUUUAUGUGCGAGGCCUCGCACAGUAUCUGCCUUUGUUUCACAGAGCGGCGGCACAAAGCCUGCUGGGAAGGGGCAGCGUUCAGUGGCUUGCUCAGGAAAUUGGAAAUCGGAGCCCUGGGAUGCCCCCCCCAACUCAUGCUUAAACAAACCCAACACACACCCGACCUUUGCUCCCCGCAUCUGCGGCAGGCUUUACACAGCAGCAGCCCCGUCUCCCGCCUUCUCUGCUGGCAUAGGGCUCACUGAAGGUCAGCCUACCGUCAGCUUCCUGGGGGACAGAAUCCCCAAACGCAAACCACACCAGGCUGACCUCGUCUUUGGAAAGGCUCCUGCUGUAUCUGAAGCUCCCUGAGUGACUACACGGAGCCCCGGAGCCGUGCCGCUCGCUUGUGCCCAGCCUCACGGGUACCCGGUCCAUCCACCUGGUCUUUCUGUGUAGGGUUGGCCCUUGGGAGCUCGGGACCCACUUCUCUAUCCCACCAGGACAGGCUUUACUGGUGCACACCACCACACUCAUCGUUCAAGUGGGUCCUGGGGAUCAGAACUUGGGUCCUUAUGCUCGUAUGGUGAGUGAUUUUUCUCCGUAGCCAUCUCCCAGCUCCUUGGUCUUGUUUUCAUUGCCCGUGCACUUCCCCUUUGCCCAGAGUCGCUGCCUGUCUUCCUGCUGGAGGGGCACAGCCUGGUCACUGUUGGGUGGCCUCGCCUGUCACGCUUGGGUAAGCCAGUGUUCAGCCAGGUUGCUGUUUCCCUGUUCUUCGGGGUGGCUCGCUCUGGCUCUGCUUUCUGAGAAAACAAGGCUGAACUUUGUUCGGCCAGAGCCCGAUUUCCCUGAGGUCUGCUGUUUGCUUGCCAGCCUCCAGCUGCUCACUGUUGUCCAGCUCCCUCACGCUGCUCUCUGUCUCAGCUGCAGCACCCACUUCCAGGAAGGCGGCCAUGUGGGGCCCAGCAGACCCGGCAGGCCCUGUGCUGUGGCCCUGAUCUGCUGGGCCCAGAGAGACUCGCCUCCGGGAGCUGCUAUGACACAGACCACCAUGUGGCCACUAGCUCCCGGCCACCGCCACGCUGGACUCCCUCAUGCCACAACUGACUAGACUAUGCGUUACAGCAGAUACAGAGAGAGGAACUGGCCGGCUGUGAGGGUGGGGUUGCUACCUACAGCCUGCUGUUCUUGGGAUAUGGAUUUUGGUGGGUUCUCAGCUGCAGUACCUGUCCCUCUCAUUCAGCGCAGUGGGGAGUGCUUCCCAGCCUUGUCAGCUUAACAUACAAACUGGAACCAUCUGAAAGGAGGAGCUUCAAUAGAGAAAAUGUCUCCGUGAGAUCUGUACAGCAUUUUCCUAAUGAGUGAUUGAUGCGUGUGGUGCCGUCCCUGGGAGGGUGGUCCUGGGUUCUAUAAGAAAGCAGUUGAGCAAUCCAUGGGGAGCAAGCCAGUGAGCAGCACCCUCCAUGGCCUCUGCAUCAGCUCCUGCUCCAGGUUCCUGCCCUGCUUGAGUUCCUGUCCUGACUUCCUUCAUCGAUGAACAGUGCUGUGGAAGUGUAAGCUGAAUAAAACUUUCCCUUCCCAACUUG
Molecule: long non-coding RNA, 3686 nt
Organism: Meriones unguiculatus (Mongolian gerbil)
Lineage: Eukaryota; Metazoa; Chordata; Mammalia; Rodentia; Muridae
Exons: 4
Source: RefSeq, a predicted model, not a curated record